GGGGUUGUGACUCAGUGGUAGAGCUCUUGUCUCACAUUCAGGGGGCACUGGGUUCAAUCCUCAGCACCACA
Molecule: transfer RNA, 71 nt
Filed under: Marmota monax (woodchuck)
Lineage: Eukaryota; Metazoa; Chordata; Mammalia; Rodentia; Sciuridae
Description: tRNA.Val
Source: RNAcentral